GACGAACCGGCCAAACGUUAAUCGGAAUUAUUGGGCUUAAAGGGUGCGUAGGCGGUGCGGUAAGUGAGGUGUGAAAUCCCUCGGCUCAACCGAGGAAUUGCGCCUCAUACUGCCGUGCUAGAGGGAGACAGAGGUAAGCGGAACUGAUGGUGGAGCGGUGAAAUGCGUUGAUAUCAUCAGGAACACCAGUGGCGAAGGCGGCUUACUGGGUCUCUUCUGACGCUGAGGCACGAAAGCUAGGGUAGCGAACGGG
RNAcentral lists this unclassified non-coding RNA (253 nucleotides) under uncultured Pirellulaceae bacterium. RNAcentral describes it as "contains 16S-23S intergenic spacer region". It matches the Rfam family "Bacterial small subunit ribosomal RNA", at positions 524 to 776 of the family's 1533-position model. Lineage: Bacteria; Pseudomonadati; Planctomycetota; Planctomycetia; Pirellulales; Pirellulaceae. The record is from RNAcentral.